CGGACGGGUGAGUAACGCGUGGGUAACCUGCCUCAUACAGGGGAGUAACAGUUAGAAAUGACUGCUAAUACCGCAUAAGACCACAGCACCGCAUGGUGCAGGGGUAAAAGCUCCGGUGGUAUGAGAUGGACCCGCGUCUGAUUAGGUAGUUGGUGGGGUAACGGCCUACCAAGCCGACGAUCAGUAGCCGACCUGAGAGGGUGACCGGCCACAUUGGGACUGAGACACGGCCCAA
RNAcentral lists this ribosomal RNA (235 nucleotides) under uncultured bacterium. Its description in RNAcentral is "partial 16S ribosomal RNA". It matches the Rfam family "Bacterial small subunit ribosomal RNA", at positions 99 to 334 of the family's 1533-position model. The record is from RNAcentral.